UACGUAGGGGGCAAGCGUUGUCCGGAAUCAUUGGGCGUAAAGAGCGUGUAGGCGGUCCGGUAAGUCGGCUGUGAAAGUCCAGGGCUCAACCCUGGGAUGCCGGUCGAUACUGCCGGACUAGAGUUCGGAAGAGGCGAGUGGAAUUCCCGGUGUAGCGGUGAAAUGCGUAGAUAUUGGGAGGAACACCAGUGGCGAAGGCGGCUCACUGGACCGGUUCUGACGCUGAGGCGCGAAAGCGUGGGGAGCAAACGGG
RNAcentral lists this ribosomal RNA (253 nucleotides) under uncultured bacterium. RNAcentral describes it as "partial 16S ribosomal RNA". It matches the Rfam family "Bacterial small subunit ribosomal RNA", at positions 524 to 776 of the family's 1533-position model. The record is from RNAcentral.